Molecule: ribosomal RNA, 512 nt
Filed under: uncultured bacterium
Lineage: Bacteria
Description: bacterial SSU rRNA
Rfam family: Bacterial small subunit ribosomal RNA
Source: RNAcentral
AGCAGAGAUGCUUUAGUGCCUUCGGGAACUCUGAGACAGGUGCUGCAUGGCUGUCGUCAGCUCGUGUUGUGAAAUGUUGGGUUAAGUCCCGCAACGAGCGCAACCCUUAUCCUUUGUUGCCAGCACGUAAUGGUGGGAAACUCAAAGGAGACUGCCGGUGAUAAACCGGAGGAAGGUGGGGAUGACGUCAAGUCAUCAUGGCCCUUACGAGUAGGGCUACACACGUGCUACAAUGGCGCAUACAAAGAGAAGCGACCUCGCGAGAGCAAGCGGACCUCAUAAAGUGCGUCGUAGUCCGGAUUGGAGUCUGCAACUCGACUCCAUGAAGUCGGAAUCGCUAGUAAUCGUAAAUCAGAAUGUUACGGUGAAUACGUUCCCGGGCCUUGUACACACCGCCCGUCACACCAUGGGAGUGGGUUGCAAAAGAAGUAGAUAGCUUAACCUUCGGGAGGGCGUUUACCACUUUGUGAUUCAUGACUGGGGUGAAGUCGUAACAAGGUAAGCGUAGUGCU